GUCGGGUGUGAAAUCUCGGAGCUUAACUCCGAAAUUGCAUUCGAUACUGCCGUGCUCGAGGACUGGAGAGGAGACUGGAAUUCAUGGUGUAGCAGUGAAAUGCGUAGAGAUCAUGAGGAAGACCAGUGGCGAAGGCGGGUCUCUGGACAGUUCCUGACACUGAGGCACGAAGGCCAGGGGAGCAAACGGG
This 190-nucleotide ribosomal RNA is filed under the name uncultured Spartobacteria bacterium. Its description in RNAcentral is "partial 16S ribosomal RNA". It matches the Rfam family "Bacterial small subunit ribosomal RNA", at positions 587 to 776 of the family's 1533-position model. The record is from RNAcentral. Lineage: Bacteria; Pseudomonadati; Verrucomicrobiota; Spartobacteria.